RNAcentral lists this ribosomal RNA (466 nucleotides) under Vreelandella stevensii. RNAcentral describes it as "partial 16S ribosomal RNA". It matches the Rfam family "Bacterial small subunit ribosomal RNA", at positions 338 to 795 of the family's 1533-position model. Lineage: Bacteria; Pseudomonadati; Pseudomonadota; Gammaproteobacteria; Oceanospirillales; Halomonadaceae. The record is from RNAcentral.
CCUACGGGGGGCAGCAGUGGGGAAUAUUGGACAAUGGGGGCAACCCUGAUCCAGCCAUGCCGCGUGUGUGAAGAAGGCCCUCGGGUUGUAAAGCACUUUCAGUGAGGAAGAACGCCUGGUGGUUAAUACCCAUCAGGAAAGACAUCACUCACAGAAGAAGCACCGGCUAACUCCGUGCCAGCAGCCGCGGUAAUACGGAGGGUGCGAGCGUUAAUCGGAAUUACUGGGCGUAAAGCGCGCGUAGGUGGCUUGAUAAGCCGGUUGUGAAAGCCCCGGGCUCAAACCUGGGAACGGCAUCCGGAACUGUCAAAGUAAGGGUCAAGGAAGGAAAGGAGGAAUCCCGGGGGUGGGGUUAAAAGGGGUAAGGUCGGGAGGAAUAACAGUGGCGAAGGCGGCCUUCUGGACUGACACUGACACUGAGGUGCGAAAGCGUGGGUAGCAAACAGGAUUAGAUACCCCUGUAGUC